AGUGAACGCUGGCGGUAGGCCUAACACAUGCAAGUCGAACGGCAGCACAGUAAGAGCUUGCUCUUACGGGUGGCGAGUGGCGGACGGGUGAGGAAUACAUCGGAAUCUACUUUUUCGUGGGGGAGAACGUAGGGAAACUUACGCUAAUACCGCAUACGACCUACGGGUGAAAGCAGGGGAUCUUCGGACCUUGCGCGAUUGAAUGAGCCGAUGUCGGAUUAGCUAGUUGGCGGGGUAAAGGCCCACCAAGGCGACGAUCCGUAGCUGAUCUGAGAGGAUGAUCAGCCACACUGGAACUGAGACACGGUCCAGACUCCUACGGGAGGCAGCAGUGGGGAAUAUUGGACAAUGGGCGCAAGCCUGAUCCAGCCAUGCCGCGUGGGUGAAGAAGGCCUUCGGGUUGUAAAGCCCUUUUGUUGGGAAAGAAAAGCAGCAGGUUAAUACCCCGCUGUUCUGACGGUACCCAAAGAAUAAGCACCGGCUAACUUCGUG
This 492-nucleotide ribosomal RNA is filed under the name uncultured bacterium. RNAcentral's name for it is "partial 16S ribosomal RNA". It matches the Rfam family "Bacterial small subunit ribosomal RNA", at positions 29 to 507 of the family's 1533-position model. The record is from RNAcentral.